RNAcentral lists this transfer RNA (90 nucleotides) under Hyphomicrobiales bacterium. Its description in RNAcentral is "tRNA-Ser". It matches the Rfam family "tRNA". From Rfam's summary of the family: Transfer RNA (tRNA) molecules are approximately 80 nucleotides in length. Their secondary structure includes four short double-helical elements and three loops (D, anti-codon, and T loops). Lineage: Bacteria; Pseudomonadati; Pseudomonadota; Alphaproteobacteria; Hyphomicrobiales. The record is from RNAcentral.
GGAGAGCUGGCAGAGUGGUCUAUUGCGGCCGGUUGGAAAUCGGCUAAAGGCGCGAGUCUUUCGAGGGUUCGAAUCCCUCGCUCUCCUCCA